GAUUGAACGCUGGCGGCAGGCUUAACACAUGCAAGUCGAGCGGGGAAGGGUAGCUUGCUACCUGACCUAGCGGCGGACGGGUGAGUAAUGCUUAGGAAUCUGCCUAUUAGUGGGGGACAACAUUCCGAAAGGAAUGCUAAUACCGCAUACGCCCUACGGGGGAAAGCAGGGGAUCUUCGGACCUUGCGCUAAUAGAUGAGCCUAAGUCAGAUUAGCUAGUUGGUGGGGUAAAGGCCUACCAAGGCGACGAUCUGUAGCGGGUCUGAGAGGAUGAUCCGCCACACUGGGACUGAGACACGGCCCAGACUCCUACGGGAGGCAGCAGUGGGGAAUAUUGGACAAUGGGCGAAAGCCUGAUCCAGCCAUGCCGCGUGUGUGAAGAAGGCCUUUUGGUUGUAAAGCACUUUAAGCGAGGAGGAGGCUACUUGGAUUAAUACUCUAGGAUAGUGGACGUUACUCGCAGAAUAAGCACCGGCUAACUCUGUGCCAGCAGCCGCGGUAAUACAGAGGGUGCGAGCGUUAAUCGGAUUUACUGGGCGUAAAGCGUGCGUAGGCGGCUUUUUAAGUCGGAUGUGAAAUCCCUGAGCUUAACUUAGGAAUUGCAUUCGAUACUGGGAAGCUAGAGUAUGGGAGAGGAUGGUAGAAUUCCAGGUGUAGCGGUGAAAUGCGUAGAGAUCUGGAGGAAUACCGAUGGCGAAGGCAGCCAUCUGGCCUAAUACUGACGCUGAGGUACGAAAACAUGGGGAGCAAACAGG
RNAcentral lists this ribosomal RNA (755 nucleotides) under uncultured bacterium. Its description in RNAcentral is "bacterial SSU rRNA". It matches the Rfam family "Bacterial small subunit ribosomal RNA", at positions 27 to 776 of the family's 1533-position model. The record is from RNAcentral.